RNAcentral lists this RNase P RNA (446 nucleotides) under Nephroselmis pyriformis. Its description in RNAcentral is "RNA subunit of RNase P". The stretch from base 18 to 333 matches the Rfam family "Bacterial RNase P class A". From Rfam's summary of the family: Ribonuclease P (RNase P) is a ubiquitous endoribonuclease, found in archaea, bacteria and eukarya as well as chloroplasts and mitochondria. Its best characterised activity is the generation of mature 5'-ends of tRNAs by cleaving the 5'-leader elements of precursor-tRNAs. Lineage: Eukaryota; Viridiplantae; Chlorophyta; Nephroselmidophyceae; Nephroselmidales; Nephroselmidaceae. The record is from RNAcentral.
UUGCCCCCCUAGGGAAUCGAGAAGUGAUUGCAAGGAGUGAUCCUUGAGGAAAGUCCGGGCUCCCUCUUCCUGAAUCGCUGGGUAAUACCCAGUACCAGUUUGACUGGGGAGGCUAGUGCCACAGAAAUAGACCUCUUUUAGCCGACUCGACUAAAAAAAGGGUGCAAAGGAAGGGAAGCAAGCCUUCAGGGUAAGCUGGCUCUUCCAGGAACGGUGGAAACCGAAUCCUCGGUAUACCCCGAUUGGGAGCAAGGCUUCGUGCCGCUAGAAAGGUAUGGCAAUAUACCUUCCAGAUAGAUAAUCACAUUUAAACAGAACCCGGCUUAUCGGAACGACCCCAGGGGGGCGUGGCUUGCCCAAGAGUCGUCUCAUGGAUAUACUAAGAAAGAGUUGGUGCUUGGGGAGACGACUUUGUCCCCUAAGAUUCUACUAGCUUGGAGACCUGG